GGUUCAUUCAAAUUUCUGCCCUAUCAACUUUCGACGGCUGGGUCUUGGCCAGCCGUGGUGACAACGGGUAACGGAGGGUUAGGGCUCGACCCCGGAGAAGGAGCCUGAGAAACGGCUACUACAUCCAAGGAAGGCAGCAGGCGCGCAAAUUACCCAAUCCCGACCGGGGAGGUAGUGACAAUAAAUACUGAUACAGGGNCUUUUCGGGUCUUGUAAUUGGAAUGAGUACAAUUUAAAUCCCUUAACGAGGAACAAUUGGAGGGCAAGUCUGGUGCCAGCAAGCCGGGUAAUUCCAGCUCCAAUAGCGUAUAUUAAAGUUGUGAGGUUAAAAAGCUCGUAGUUG
RNAcentral lists this ribosomal RNA (343 nucleotides) under uncultured fungus. RNAcentral describes it as "SSU rRNA". It matches the Rfam family "Eukaryotic small subunit ribosomal RNA", at positions 292 to 636 of the family's 1831-position model. Lineage: Eukaryota; Fungi. The record is from RNAcentral.